AUUUCUCCUAGAAGCCCUUAAAUUUUGUUUUUCACAUAUCGUUUAAAACUUUUAAGUGCUGAUGUCUGUCUGUGUCAUCCCUCUUUUUUUUUUUUUUUUAAAUGUCUUUUUGUCACUUCUAGCUGGACCUACCAUGAAAGACUUCUGAAUCCAGGAAGAGAAACUGACUGGGCAACAUGUUAUUCAGAUGGGGUCUUCUUAUGUUGACCAGGCUGGUCUCAAAUUCCUAGGCUCAAGUGAUUCUGCCCACCUCUGCCUCCCAAAGUGCUGGGAUUAUGGGCAUGAGCCAGCGCAUCUGGCCACCGUAUUUUCUAUUACUGGCUCAAUGUAAUGGCUCCAUCUCAGGAACAGCCAAUGAAAGAGAUGCACAGGACAAGGAAGUGACCUCACAAUGACUCAAGCUACCACAUGCUGUUGAUUGUGAAAUGCCAGUUGAAGCAUAUGUCCUGCGAGCUUAGGGGUGCUACAAGUUGACCACUGCAGCAGUAAAGAUGACUCUGAAGAAUGGCGUGGGAUGGAUCCUUUCGAAUGCACUUGAGCAGCGGUCUCCAACCACAGGGCCACAGAGCUGGAGGUGAGCAGCAGGUGAGUGAAGGGAA
Molecule: long non-coding RNA, 599 nt
Filed under: Homo sapiens (human)
Lineage: Eukaryota; Metazoa; Chordata; Mammalia; Primates; Hominidae
Description: HSALNT0357420
Source: RNAcentral